GAUGAACGCUAGCGGCAGGCUUAACACAUGCAAGUCGAGGGGCAGCACGAGUAGCAAUACUUGGUGGCGACCGGCAAACGGGUGCGGAACACGUACGCAAUCUACCUUUAUCUGGGGCAUAGCCCGAAGAAAUUCGGAUUAAUUCCCCAUAAUAUGAUUAAGUGGCAUCACUUGGUUAUUAAAACUCCGGUGGAUAGAGAUGAGCGUGCGUCCCAUUAGCUAGNGGUAGGGUAACGGCCUACCAAGGCGACGAUGGGUAGCUGGUGUGAGAGCACGACCAGCCACACGGGCACUGAGACACGGGCCCGACUCCUACGGGAGGCAGCAGUGAGGAAUAUUGGUCAAUGGACGCAAGUCU
Molecule: ribosomal RNA, 358 nt
Filed under: uncultured bacterium
Lineage: Bacteria
Description: bacterial SSU rRNA
Rfam family: Bacterial small subunit ribosomal RNA
Source: RNAcentral